This is a non-coding RNA of Cherax quadricarinatus, 1089 nucleotides long. NCBI's taxonomy places the organism in Eukaryota, Metazoa, Arthropoda, Malacostraca, Decapoda, Parastacidae. The record is from RefSeq and is a predicted model, not a curated record.
UGUCAAACCUAAGGUAAUGCUGGUUGGAAGAAUAAAAGAAAACCUCCCCGAGAUCGAGACAACGAAGCUAGAGACUGAGGUAGAGAUGAUAAAGAGGAUAAAUAAGAGAUAAAUGGAGAGUAGAUAUCUAUCAGAUGCUGUGUGAGCUGAAAACAUUGAGGUGAUGUUUACACUGCUGGCACCCACUGCCUCCACGCUCAUUUAUGGCUAUUAUCUCCCCUUUAUCUCUCUCCCUGCUUCUCCCCGUUGUGUCUAAGGUCAGUUCCCUUCAGUAACUUGAUAAUGGUCAAGGAUGCAUCGAAGAGUCGCCUGAAGUUUCAUCUCUAAUUUAUAAUGAGGGUGUUAAAGGAACACUGAGAUCACCUGAGACCACUGGCCAGUGAACCUUGACUGUCAAGCUCUGCCGCUGCUGCCUUGUACUGCAUGUUUCCCACUGCCCUCUUGACCCCACCAUGGAAAACAGUGCAGUUCACCGUGCGCAUGAUCCUGAGAGGUAAACACUGGUUGCCUGAGACAAAUUUGAGAGUACACACACACAUAUAUAUACUAUAUAUACGCCUACAAUCCGAGUUAUGACCGAGUUCGGUUCCGAGAAACCGGUCGUAAGUCGAAAUGGUCGUAAGUCGAAAUGGUCGUAAGUCGAACUUUACUACUGAAUAUCAACAAAACAUUUUUGUAAUGACUUUAUUUUAUUGUUUUAUUUUGGUAUUUCAUGUUUUACUUUACUUUUUAUGUUGUUAGUACAGUGGACCCCCGCUUUAUGAUCACCUCCCAAUGCAACCAAUUAUGUAAGUGUAUUUAUGUAAGUGCAUUUGUACGUGUAUGUUUGGGGGUCUGAAAUGGACUAAUCUAAUUCACAAUAUUCCAUAUGGGAACAAAUUCGGUCAGUACUGGCACCUGAACAUACUUCUGGAAUGAAAUAAUAUCGUAAACCGGGGGUCCACUGUACUGUAUUUUAUACUGUAAGGUUUAGGAUAAACACUGUGUACAACACAAAUAGUUGCUUAUUUUCCAGAAAUUUGGCAUAAAAAACACGAUCGUAAGUCGAGUGGUCGUAAGUCGAGCAGGUCGUAAGUCAGAUGGUAGGUG